Esox lucius (northern pike) is the source of this 329-nucleotide long non-coding RNA. The record is from Ensembl. NCBI's taxonomy places the organism in Eukaryota, Metazoa, Chordata, Actinopteri, Esociformes, Esocidae.
GUCAGGUGUGUGUGAGUGUGUGCAUGUGUCCUCAGGGGAGUGGGAGUCAGGUGUGUGUGAGUGUGUGCAUGUGUCCUCAGGGGAAUGGGAGUCAGGUGUGUGUGAGUGUGUGCAUGUGUCCUCAGGGGAAUGGGAGUCAGGUGUGUGUGAGUGUGUGCAUGUGUCCUCAGGGGAAUGGGAGUCAGGUGUGUGUGAGUGUGUGCAUGUGUCCUCAGGGGAAUGGGAGUCAGGUGUGUGUGUGUGUGUGCAUGUGUCCUCAGGGGAAUGGGAGUCAGGUGUGUGUGAGUGUGUGCAUGUGUCCUCAGGGGAAUGGGAGUCAGGUGUGUGUG